This 1291-nucleotide unclassified non-coding RNA is filed under the name uncultured soil eukaryote. RNAcentral's name for it is "sequence contains 18S rRNA gene, ITS1, 5.8S rRNA gene, ITS2, 28S rRNA gene". The stretch from base 344 to 1291 matches the Rfam family "Eukaryotic large subunit ribosomal RNA", at positions 1 to 961 of the family's 3401-position model. The record is from RNAcentral.
GGAGGGAUCAUUUCUGGAAGAGCCUUUGGCUCUCGGAACCCUCCGAUUUUUAAACAAGCUUUGUGAUGGAUCACUUGGGUGUUGUGACGAUGAAGAACGUAGCAAGCCGCGUUAUGUAAUGCGACAUGCAAAGCUCGUGAAGCAUCGAAAUUUUGAACAUACACACGACCGAGUAGUGCUUCGGUGCUGCUCGGUGCUUGCUCGAGAGUGUCAGUUUUUCGUAUUGUUUGGACAAGGAGUGCGAGGCUUAAUUGAUUCCUCCAAGAAAAGCAACCUUGUUUAUCUAGGCAAGAUGCGAUUGUGUCGCUUGUCUAACGGAUGAUAAUUUACUUUUGUAAAUUUCUGACCUCUCCUGUGAGAGAUUACCUACUGAAUUUAAGCAUAUUAGUAAGUAGAGGAAAAGAAAUCAAAAGAGAUUCCCUUAGUAGCGGCGAGUGAAACGGGAAAAGCCCAUCCUGAAACCUGGCGCAAGCUGGGUGUUGUGGGGUGCGGGAUAUUAUCCGAAGUGUGUAGGGGAAUCCAAUUGUCUGGAAAGUCAAACCAUAGAGGGUGAAAGUCCCGUUCGAUUCUUCGAAGCAUGGUAUGGAUAAUGUUCUACGAGUAGCAUUCUUUGAAAGUAGAAUGUGAAUAUGGGUGAUGAAUUUCAUCUAAGGCUAAAUAUUAACACAACACACCGAUAGCAAACAAGUACUGAGAAGGAAAGUUGAAAAGAUCCCUGACGAGGGGCUGAAAAAUAUGUGAAAUCACUGAGUAACAAAGCGAAGCCAACACGCUCGUUUGUCGGGUGGCUCUGCCUAGAUCCGACAUACCAGAAACGUAUCUCUUGGUGCGUGCAAAGGCCAUAUGUUCUGGAAAAAUGCUAUCUUUGGAGCUUGAAACCAAAGCAGUGAACUCGUUUCGGCGGGGGAGCUGUGGAGGCCAGGGUUCCUUGGAUGGUAUCUUGAAAGUUACGAUCAUGGUUUAUUCUGGAGUGAGCAUUGGAUUCGACCCGUCUUGAAACACGGACCAAGGAGUCUAACAUGCCUGCAAGGGAGUAGCAUUGAAAUGCGAACCCCGCAGUGAAUGCAUACGGUGUUAGCCUCGGCGAAGCACCAACCAAUCCAGAACUUCGGUUGGAAUUGCGUUCGAGUUAUAUUGUUGAGACCCGAAAGAUGGUGACCUAUACCUGAAUAGAUUGAAGUCAGGGUAACCUCUGAUGGAGGAUCUCGAACGGUGCUGACGUGCAAAUCGCUCGUCGUACUUGGGUAUUGGAGCGAAAGACUCAUCGAACCAUCAGGUAGCUGGUUCCUCC